CCGAAACCAUUACCCCUUCUUCUUUAACCCUUACACUUUAACCUUUCUUCUUAACCUAUACAAGACUCAAAGAGAGACACGACCAAGUCCGGAUCGCCGGCCCACCCCUUCAAAAAUUCCAUGACCUCUUUCUCUAAACUUACCCACACCUAAUCUGUCGCCCACCCCAUGGGAGAACCUUGAGAUUUUUCAUUCACUCACAUAUAAGCGCACAUACACGCACAGUAAGGGAAAUCAGAGGAAAGGGAUUUGUGGGUUUUGUUUGUUUUGAUUUCCAACUUUUCCAUUUUCGGAUUUUUUGAGUUCUUCGCUGAAAAUUAGUUUUCAAAGACGGAGUUUGAUUGAGAUCGAGGUCUUUUCGAUCCCGUGUUCUGUUCGUAGCUCAAGGAUUUGGGAGGUAACAUUUCAGAUUUCAUUUGGCAAAAUAUAUUUGAGUUCCAAGUCGAGGUCACCGGUUAGUUUCUGCCAUUAAUUUAAUCAAAACAGAAGUGAAAUCUUGGCUUUACUUUGAGGUUCCAUCUUUUGCUACUUUUCUAUUCCCUUUCUGGUAAUGUUGUUUGUUUACCUCUUAUGUUUUCCUGCCUAGUACGAGAACUUUUUAUAUUUACCAUGAUAGAUGUGCAUAAUUACUUGUCCUUUGAUUGUUAAUUUGGUAUAUUGAAGUAGCAAAGUCAGUUGUUGGGAUUGACUAAAGAAAGUUAUUUGACGGAGUUGAUUUAAGAAAACUUGUGUGAUUGGUGUUGAGUCCGUUACAAAUUAGGUGAGAAACAAAUGGGUUAUGGGAGUUGGCUUUAAUAAAGUGAAGGAAAUUGGCCUUAAAUGAUCUUGAUGCUUUUAUUCUACUCAUUUAUUAAUUAAACGCUAGUAGCAUGUUUUAGGCCGAUCACAUUCGGGUAGGCAAACUUUAGGCUUUCUUCCUUUCAUUUGAGGUAAGAGGUCAUCCAUUAGUUCAUUUAUUCGGGGAAUGCCCCGAAGGAUUUGUAUAUAGUUUAUUCCGGGGAAUGCCCCGAAGAACUUUGUAAAUAUUUAGUAUUUAUGAUUUUGCUUUACGCUUUUCUUUUA
Molecule: non-coding RNA, 1062 nt
Organism: Nicotiana tabacum (common tobacco)
Lineage: Eukaryota; Viridiplantae; Streptophyta; Magnoliopsida; Solanales; Solanaceae
Source: RefSeq, a predicted model, not a curated record